This 173-nucleotide ribosomal RNA is filed under the name uncultured bacterium. RNAcentral's name for it is "partial 16S ribosomal RNA". It matches the Rfam family "Bacterial small subunit ribosomal RNA", at positions 1320 to 1500 of the family's 1533-position model. The record is from RNAcentral.
AUGAAGCUGGAUUCGCUAGUAAUCGCGCAUCAGCCAUGGCGCGGUGAAUACGUUCCCGGGCCUUGUACACACCGCCCGUCAAGCCAUGAAAGCCGGGGGCGCCUGAAGUCCGUGACCGCGAGGGUCGGCCUAGGGUGAAACCGGUGAUUGGGGCUAAGUCGUAACAAGGUACC